GAGGCGAUGCUUCGCCGGAUUGCUUAUCUUCUUCUUCAUCGUCCUCCUCGUCGUACUCCUGGUGUGGGCAAUCCUCCAGCCCAAGGACCCACGCUUCGUCCUCCAAGACGCCACCAUCUACGCCCUCAACGUCUCCACCCCGAAUAUCCUCACCGUCAACAUCCAAGUCACCAUCACCACCCGCAACCCCAACGACAAGAUCGGCAUCUACUAUGAGAAACUCGACACCUACGCCACCUACCGCGGCCAGCAGAUUACCCUCGCGUACCUCAUCCCCCCCACCUACCAGGGCCACAAGGAGAUCAUCACCUGGUCACCUUUUCUCUCCGGCACGGCCGUACCCGUGGCUCCCUACAACGCCAUUGCACUGAAUCAGGACCAGUCGUAUGGCGCCCUCACCUUGAUCAUCAAGAUUGAUGGACGGGUGAAAUGGAAAGUUGGUUCCUUCACAUCAGGCCGUUAUCAUCUUAACGUCAAGUGUGUGGCGCCUAUUACUUUCGGUGCCAGGAGCAGCGGUGUUGUUAUCGGUAACGCCGUUAAGUACCAGAUGGCUUCCACUUGCAGCGUCAGCGUUUGAGCUUCUUCACGCCGUUAGUAUUAUUUCUCUCCCUUUGUCCUCUUCUUUUAAUUCUGUUUCUCUCCCUUGAGUCUCUAGUCAUACGUCUUUUGAAUUGUACAUUUUGCUAAGAAUAAAAGCGGAAAAAAAUUGGAAAGCAAAAUUGCAAUGUUAUGAAAAUUGUAUAACCGUGCUAUUAUAAGAUUAUGAUUUGUGCAAUAAUUAUUUCCAAGGGGUGGAGGGUGUGCUGUCCCUUUCUAUCAUUUUUCUAUGGUUGCUUCCUUCAAGAAAAUGAAAAUUAAAAGGAUGGGGGCACCUGUUUUAUUUUAGAGUGACUGGUUGAUGUGAUCCAUAAUUUUAUAUGUAUUUUGUCUUUCGUUUUUCGCAAAAUAGAAAGUCCAAUUCAUGAACACACCUAAGUUAAUUAGGUGUUAUCUUCAAAGUGGAUAGCAAGAAAAACGGUCACAUGGGGCUAUUAAAUCUCUUUUUCGCAAUGGGAGGAGAUGGUAAAAGUUUCCAAUAUCUCAAUAUAGUAGAAACCCAAGCCUCACCCAUUCAACACAAGAAUUUUUUUCUUUGUUUUAGAGAGAGAGAGAGAGAGAGAGAGAGAGAGAAUACCCUUAAAAGUAAUGUGAAGGUCGUAGCUGGUGUAUGGGUGUUGCAAUCUUGGGCAAAAGGCAUGAGUAGUGAGUUGUGGGUGUUGGGUCUUCAACAGUUCAACACUCGUAUGGCUUUGGUGGCUGUCCUUUUCGCUUCUCACCUGCCCUACCUACUAAUAAUAAUUGCUUUGUUAGAAAUAGACUUUUUUUUUUCUAAAUGUCUACGAUCGACGCUCCUGCUUUUCUUUCCCCAGUGUCUUUUAGAAGAUGAUGUCGGUCGAAGAUCCCACGUGUAAGAAAAUUUAAGUCCACCCAGUGCAUCAAUCUUCAACAUAAUCUCAUAUUGCCCAUCUAUUUUUGUCUGGGAGAAUCAUGUAUCAUAUAUUCAUAUGCACUUCCAUAUCCAUGCUUAUACCCACCCCACUCACUCCUUUUUGGACCUGUGCUAGCUCGACCAGCAAAACAUUGGGCUUUAAGUGCUUAUAUUAUGGGCUGGGCUAGGCAGUUUCUGCAACUUCAAAGCCCAUGCACUGAAAUAUUGUAUAUAUUAACUUCCACAAGUAAUGAAUUGAUAAAAUCUCUUACUCAAAAGGCCACAGCAACAGCAUUCACCCAUAAUAGAUGAGACAAAAACAAAUUUUGGUUUCAAUUUUGAAAUAUUGUGAAUUUAUUUUAGAUUAAUUUUUUGUCUAAAUUUUUUUAUGAAAUUUAAUAUCUGAAUUUGAUGAGUUAUGAGACAAAAAUAGUGAUCAUUUGUAGUAAAGUGUUGUUUCAAUUUUGGAAUAGUGUGAUUUUAUUUUAGAUUAGUCUCUUAUUCAAAUGAAAGUGAUUUUAAUAUUGUUCAUCUUCUUUUUUAGUUACAAUUUAUGAGAAAAUUUAAUAUCUAAAUUUUCUUGAGAAAAAUGAUAGAAAUUACGUUUUUAAAAUUUUUAUUUUAUUUUUAAGAUAAAAGCUAUCUAAAAUUUUUUUAAAUGAAUUUUAUUUUAUUUUAUGUAAGAAAUUACGUUUUAAGUAUUAUAAUAAAAUUAAAUUUUGAAAAGAUAAAAACGAAAAGAGAAGAAGUGAUACAAGUUAAAAAAAAAAAAAAAAGGAUCUCUAACUUCCUUGUAAUUUUUUUUUAUUAAAAAGAAAACAAAUCUUAAAUAAAUUUGUUAUAUUUUUAUAACCAGACCUACAGGUUGGACCCAAAAGGCCUAAGGUCCAUGAACUGGAGUCAGUUUGGGAGCUUGCAUUAUUAACUCCCAAAGAUCGUCCAGAACUAGGCCAGACUAGGUAUAGUGGAGCACUGCAUGAGCAAGCUGGGCCUCUCUGCCAAAUAUGAAAGGGUACGCCAGACUUCAGCAAUAUGUUUACCCGAUCUCAAGAUUGGCCCAAAAGUAGGCCCAUUCCUACAUAGUCCAUGGUCACGAUAUAUAUAUAUAUAUAUAUAUAUAUAUAUAUAUAUAUAUAUAAAGGCUGUUCCACAUUUGCGUUAAACAACACCGGUCAAGGGCCAAGGCACCAAACAUUGUUGGACCGAUCAAGGGCAGACACGCUUGUAUAGGAGUUUUGACCCAAAAUAGUAUAUUUAAAAAAAAAUAAAUUCAUAAAAUAAACUUGUUUCCAAAAUAAAGCUCGAUCUACAUUUGUGUUACAUAAACUGUCAUAUCAUAAAACCAUAGUCGGUAAUGAUGAUUUUAUUUUUUAAAAACGGUUAGAAACUGUAGUCACCAACCAUAAUUUUAAUUUUAAAUUUAAAGUCGCUACGAUUUUGAAUUCUUUUAAAAUUUGUCAAAAACGUAGUUACCAAUUGCGAUUUUAACUUUAUAUAUAUAAAUUUAAUUUUUUAAAUAAACAUAUUAUAUUAUUUUGAUUUUAAAUAAACUUAUUUCAUUAUUUAAAAAAUAAUAAUAUAUGAGAUUAAAUAAUUGAUAUUUUUAUUUGAUAUAAAUAUAUAUAUAUAUAUAUAUAUAUAUAUUAAUUUUAUUAAAACAAUAGGCACUAUAUUUAAUAUAAAUAUAUUUAGUUAAUUAUAUUUAUUUAAAACAAAUAAAUUGUGAAAGCUUAUUAAAAAAACAAAUAAUAUAAAUUAUUAUAUUAAUUAGUAAUUUUUUAUAUACUAUAUAUAAAUGGCAUAUAAUAUCACACGUAUAUAAGUUCAAUUUAAGUUUAAAAUUUAUAGUUCAUAAUAUUAUAUUGAUAUGAUAAUAAUUUACUUAUAUAUUUAAAUAAAAAUAUGAUAAAUUUUAAAUUUAAAUUAAACUUUUAUAUAUAGGUGAUAUUAUAUACCACUUACAUAUAAUACAUAAAAAAUUAUUAAUUAAUAUAAUAAUUUAUAUAUAUAUUUUUUCUAAAUAGUCUUUCAUAAUUUAUUUAUUUUAAAUAAAUAUAAUUUAUUAUAUUUCAUUUAUAUUAAAUAUAAUGCUAAUUUUUUUAAUAAAAUUAAAAAAAAAAUAUUUUUAUAUCAAAUUAAAAAUAUCAAUUAUUUAAUUUUAUAUAUUAUUAUUAUUUAAAUAAUAAGAUAAAUUUAUUUAAAAUCAAAAUAAUAUAAUAUUUUUAUUUUAAGAAAAUUAAAAUUAAAACGUGGUCCGUGAUUAUGGUUUCUAUUUUAAAAAAAUAAAAUCAUAAUCACCUAUUAUCAGCCAAUUUUAGAUGGUAACCUGAAAGGCCCAUUACCAGGAUUUGUGCGCCAUUGCGACGCGUGUGGCGCGCCUACCGAGUUUGACUGAUAAGCCACGAGAAAUGUUAGGAAUCUUCUAAUUUGUCCUCUACGGUUCAUGGCAUCUUUCAUGUGAGAACGAAAGCUACGAAGUUUCCUGGGCAACUUCCCAUCCACAAAAAUUGCGUUCAAGAUUAUCAUGAACUCCUUCCACCUCACCCACCCCUUUUUUAAUUCGACCCCAUUUUCCAAUUUUACGUGCCAUGACUUUAUCAUACCUUUAAUCAAUCAUAUUUUAAGAAAUGCUGCAUUGUUUUUUCAAGUUAAAUGAUCUCACGUGUAGACAAACUGAUAAAAAGGCAAUUAGAUUACGCAAGACUUAUGCGUUAACUGUUUCAUAAGUAAAAGAAUUUGGCUACCCACCCGGCUUUGACAAUGAUUGGUUUUGCCUAUUUUCUAUCUUUCCUUUUGCAUUCUAAUUUCCGUGAGCUUCCAUGGAUCUUUUUAUCCAACUUCAAAAUGAGAAAUGGGUUUAAUCAUAUAUAGGGUAGAGGAAAAGUGGAAAAACAUUGUAGACUGUAGAGUUGCUCUCAAAGUUUGUUACUUCCUGUGUGUUCCUAUGACUUUCAUUAAAGAAUAGGAUUUACUAUUUGCCCAGUUAAAGUCUCAUGACAUCACUUUGAAUUCUUACCAGAAUUAUUGGAAGAAAAUGUCUUAAUAAAUAAAAAAAUAAAAAAACCUACUAAAAAUAUCUAAUGGAAACAAAGUAAAGCGUUAAAUAAAUCUACUAAAUUAACAUUUGAAUUCUUUUCUAAACAUUAAUCUCAUUCCAAGUGCCUUUAAUUUUAAUACUUUUAAAUAAUUUCCUUUAAUUUAUAUAAUAUAUGUAAUAUUAUCUUUAUAUAAUAUUAAUUACAUUAUCCUUUAAUUCUAAAAAUGCAUUUAAUAAUGAUGGUCCGGAGUUUUUCUAAUUUUUUUAAUACGUAAAACAAAAUUUAUUUUAGAAAUAUUAUAAACAAUUUUUUAGAAUAGUUGUGAAAUGCACUUUAAAAUACAUUGAAUUAUGAAUUUUAAUUAUAUAUUUUAUGAUGCUUGAUGAUUUUAAAAAGAGGCCAACAUUGUUUAUUUUAAAUAUAUCUUCAUGAUAGAGCAAGAUUUUUUCCAUGUGUGACUCUAAGAUCAUAAAAUGAGGUGACAUUGGUAUGACAAUUAGAAAUGUUAAAAAAUACAAAUAAAAAUUUAUAUAUGUAGUUUGGCAUAUCGGGUUGAAUAAAAGGUAAUUACAUGAUGUUAAAAUUAAGUCUAUAUCAAUUACUUAUGUUAAUUAAUUUUAAUAAAAAGUGGAAAUAUUGCAAAUACAAAUAGAAAUGAAUGUAGAAAAUAAGUUUUUUUAAAUAGUUUAAGAAAAUUAAUAUUAUAUAUUUAAUUCAAUGUGAUAAAAUAUUUAGGAAUUAAAAACUGAAAUCAAUGUGGCCGAUAUGAUAAGAGUUUUUUUUUUUUUUUUUUUUUUAAUUUGAAAUGUGAAGAUAUUUUAUAAGAUAUUGAGUUGAUUAAGAAAUAGAAAUAAAUAAUACAAUGGGAUAUUUUGAGAAAAAUAAGUUCAUAACAUUUUAUUCUUAAAAAAUAUGUAAAAAGGAAAUUAAGUAAUAUAUAUAUAUACAAUUUUACUAUUAAUAAACCUCAUCACCAUUGCAUUAAUAUCUACAUUGUUUUUUUUUUAACUCUUCAUUUUUAUUAUGCAUUUAUACUUAAAAAUCAAUAAAAGCAUAUAAAAAAAAUAUUUAAAAUCUAAUAAUAUAUUUUAAAAAAAAUAUAGAAAAUAAUGUUUAGGUAAAUGAGGGAAUAGAAUAAUUAGUAAAUAAAUUUCUUUUCACUUAACUCCUUCCGAUUCUAAACAGAUGCUUAAUUUCUUGGUACUUUUAUAUGUAGGAUAGAAUAUAGAUAUAAAUAUAAAUAUAGAUUAUUUCACCAACCUCUAGUUUGAAAAUAAAUAUUUUUAAUUAAUUUCUCUAUAAAAGUCAAAUAACAUUUUUCCCAUUUCUUAAUAUUUUUCUAAUGGAAAAUAAGCCAAAAGGAUCUGAAAUCAAAAUCAAGUAAUCAAAUAUGCAAAAAGUCUAGUUAGACCGCAAUGCUUACCAUAUUUUAAAAGCUGGUAAUAAUUCUGACAGCCUAAAAUUUCUAGAUUUAGUAAGUUCACUUGAUAAAAAUAAUGUCUGUGCUCAUGACAAGGCAUAUUAAAUCUGGCACACAAUCCCCCCAAGUCUAAUCACAACCAUUGGUAAUGAAUUCAUAAUCUUAUUCGUGUAUGUAUGAUAUUACUUGGAGAGAACAAAUUUGAAAUGCCAAAAUGCGACACAUCAGGCGUGACCAAAUCAGCAGAUUGAUAAGAAAAGGGAAACAAAUUAAUACAUUCAAAAUUUGACACAUUCCGUGUUAGAAGUUACUAGAAAGGAAAACACGUUAUGAACAAAAAUCAUCAUGAAAUUUUGUGGUGUCAGCCGAAAAGGACCGUGUGUAAGGAGUCAACGGAUGUCUGGAAGUAUCCAUGUAGCAUCGCUACCCACGCACAAAGCAACCGCGUUGAUUUUAAGCCUGAUACCGCGGCCUCAGUCGUGUUCUUCCUCAUUAAAGAACUACACCUGCGCCCUGGAGUGCUUGAAAUUAUCCUCACCUCUUCGGCUCUUCACACCAUUCCCGGCUCUAUAUAUAUUCGCAUUCAUCUCUCCUAAUUUCAUCGAAUCCCAUCUACGCAUCUUUCUCUUUUUGUCCACUGCGUACUUGUUUGUCUGUUGUAGUCUUAUACCAUGGCUGACGUUGAGAAACAAACAUUGAAUAAAGGCUACUAUGGCCCCUCAAUUCCUCCAAAAUCACGAUCCUACCACAGCCACGGCCGAGGCAGCGGAUGCGGCUGUUGCUGCUGCCUCCUAGGCUUUUUGCUCAAACUCAUUGUCACCGUCGUUAUCAUCGUAGGGAUUGCAGUCCUCCUCUUCUGGCUCAUAGUCCGUCCCAACAAGGUUAAGUUCCAUGUGGUUGAUGCCUCCCUCACCGAGUUCAACCUUACCAGCGACAACAUCCUUCAGUAUAACCUUACCGUCAAUAUGACCGUCCGCAACCCCAACAAGCGUAUUGGUAUAUACUUUGAUCGCAUCGAAGCCAAGGCGUACUAUGAGGACGCCUUGUUCGAUUCUGUUGAGUUGGAACGAUAUUACCAGGGCCACAAGUCAACUCAUACCCUGAAUCCAGAGUUUACUGGGGAGAACUCUGUAUCGCUUGGAGCAUCCGAGCUUUCGAAUUUCAAUUCGGAGAAGGCUUCAGGAACUUACAGUAUUGAUGUGAAGCUGCGUCUUCGGAUCAGGUUCAAGUUGGGAAUAUUGAAGAUUGGUACGUUCAAGCCCAAGGUUACUUGUGAUUUGAAGGUUCCUUUGGAUUCUGAUGGGACAAGCAGUGGUACUUUCCAAACCACCAAGUGCGACGUUAAUUUCUGAUCAUCUGAUUCAGGCUCCUGCUCGCCUUCCUGGCUCUUUGAUCCACUUCGUUGUUGAUUUCUUUGAUUUGCAUAUUAUUCUUUUGUUUGUGGGUACACAUAGCAUCACAUAUCGUUUUCUUUCCAUUUCCCUCCCUUUUGUAGGGAUGGUUUAGACGUGAUCAUGUUGGUUUCUUCUUGUUCAUAGAUUAUGCCAUUUUUGGUUAUGUAUAUGUUAUGUUAUAUUUAUGAGUUUCGUUAUAAUUUUUAUUUUUUUCGGUUAAUCUUCGCUGCAUUUUUCAAUUUGGUAUACACGCUGGGGCAAAUUUUAAUUAUUUGGUGAACUGCUUCUUUGGUUCGUCGGUGAAAUAUAAGUGGACGAAUUUAUUAAUAAAACCUGACUUUGUUCUUAUACGUUACAUGGAGAACGAUGCCAAGUGCUCCUACGAUCAACUCGAACGAAUGAUGCGUGACUGAUUCAAUGUGACCACGCGUGGGCAUUGUGUCGGUGAAAUGCAACAAUCUAUAAUCUAUUCAGAUAAGAAUGCUGGGGGGCCAUAGAAGGGUCUCGCAGAUGACAUCUAAUCAAGCCUCCUGCUUUGUCCAAAAAAUUUAACAUUUAUAAUUGAAAAAGGAAAUUUAUGUAAAAGAUUUCAAGUUUAGAGUUUAAAAUUUACGUAAAAGAUAUUAUUUUCCUUUAAUUAUAUUUUUAAAUGCUAAAAGAAGUUUUGAAGCUUUAAUCAUCUUUUUCGAUUAUUCAAGGGGGUUUUUCCUUAUUUGUAAUUUUAAAUAAUUUAUAUAAUUAUUAAUUAUUGUAAAGCUUACGUUUUCAUAUUAUUUCUCAUUAUUAAACACUAUUUUCUCUAGAUUAUAUUUUUAAAGUUGAAAAUUGAUAUUGGUUAAAAGAAGUUUUUGAAUAUUCGAUGUUAUUUAUUUUUAUAAAAAUUUUAAAUAAUUUAUUAUGUAUUAUUAUAUAAUAUCAUGGGUUGUUGGUUUAGAAAACCACUGUACAUUUCAAAUUUGAGAACUUUGUUGUCGUUUUUCAUUUUUUCGUACGUUUCACACGUGCGCUUCAGAUUCCAGAACAUGGACUUAUUUUUUAUUUUUAAAACCAAAAAUUUCUAUAUAAAAAAUAUAAACUUAGUUAAUUUUCUAUUUUCAUUUUUAUAUUAUAUAACAGCGGGUGGGAGUGGAAAUGUGAUUUGACUUGCACAGCCAGACUAAGGAAAAAAAAAAGGUUCCAAGAAAAAUCUGGCUUCAUAUGGGAAACUUAGGUUUUAGGUUAUCAAUAUCAAAACAAUAGUAUAUCAUACCCCAGGUUUGCCAAUUUCAAGUUUACGAUGCUAACCUCAAAAAUAUUUUGAGUCUCAUGCACUUUGGACUGAGUUGUUUUUUAAUUCCCAAAAUGCCCCCCUCCUUCGAUCAAGUCAACCUCCACAAAGUUUAAAAAAAAAAUAAAAGAUUAAAAAUAAAAAACAACUUAAUAGCAGAAACCUUCCUUCUUCGUUUAUUUCUAUAUGUAAACCCUCAGUUCACUUUUCCUUCUUAUCUUCUUUAUUUCCUCAUUCCUUUAUACACAUCUAACUAGUAUAAACCAUAACGGAAAACCAUAGUCAUUUUCUUCAUUUUUCCUCCUAGUGUGUGAUAUGGUAGAAGUUGUGCAUUCUUGGGUGCCUCUGCCUACCACCACCGCCACCCACCACCAUCUCCUCACAUCUCAUCCUUUUCACCUCUCUCACUCGACUUCCUCUUUCUUUAUGCCUCUAUCAUUCUCAUCCCAGGUACUCUCUCUCACUCUUUGUUUUUAUAUGUAUAUGAUUUGAACGAUAGUGAUCGAGGGAUUUUUCUUUUAAAUUUUUUAUUGCUUGAGAAUGAUUUCAUAAUUUAUUGUAAUUCUAAGGCUUUCUUAUUGAUUUUUGUUUUUUUUCCAUGCCAACAUGCUUCAACUUGAUUGGGCUUAUCUAAAAUUUUUAGCUUUCAUGUGCUCAAUUGCUGAGAAAUUUGUUGAAAUUGAAAGGAAAUAUAAAGUUUUGACAUUUUUAGGGAUUGAGUUGGGUGAAAGUGAAUGACUGAGUUUAUCUUUGUCGAAUAGUUGUCCAUACAUCACUAAACUAAUAUUUUGAUCGGAAUCAUUGAGCUAAUUGUUAUUGUGUUAAUUAAAUGAAGGAUUAAGCUAUUUUCCAAAUGUUAAGCUUGUAGGAAAAUUUUACAUCUUGUCUUUGUUUUUUUCUUUUUUGUCUUAUGUGAUGCUUUGUCAAGAGGAUAUUUUAGGGAAAUGAUUUUCUACAAGUGAAUGAGAAUCAAUGGAAAAUACACUUUUCACUUAUCUAAUCAAUCAAAUAUAACUUAAAGGUUUAGAUUUUAUUUUAUUUUCUAUUCUUUUCCUUGGUAUCUUAGCAAAUAAAUAGAGAAUUAGGAAGAUUCUUUUGAUAGAUUUGUUUUUCCCAUGACUAAGGUGUGGUUUGAUGCACUUCCGAUUUUUCAUUUUUAAAAUAUAGAAUAAUAGCAACUUUAUAUAAAGUUUAGGAACUCUAAUACAAAAUAAAUAAAUAAAUAAUUUAUUUUAUAUUUUAGGUUCCUUAAACUGAUUAUUUGUUUUAAUGCUUCUUAAUCUAAAUUGUUGUUCCUGCAUUUUAAAUAAGAAAGGUAUACAAGUUGAUUUUUUUUUAAUGAAAUUAAGAUUUGAAAUAGAUUAAUGUUGCAGUUACCAAAAAAUUGAGCAUUACAUGUCCAAUCAUGGUCCUUAUUUUGUGCAUGCAUUCCCCUAAAGGAGAAAUUUCUUUCACUUACACCUUUCAAGUUAGCAAAUAGAUUGUCAUUGCUUAAGCAAGGAACAAAUGGAGUUGCCUUCUCCAAUCACCGGGGUUUUUUUCUAUUGUGGAUUGAGUUCCUUUUCCCAAAUUCUUAUUAUUGAUAAUGGUAAUGAAGUUUAUAACUUGUAGAAAAUAAGUAGAGUUAUUCAGUGCUCUUCUUUACCAACGUGUCUUGCUAGGUCCUUCUAGUUGCAUGUUUUUUAAUGCAUAUUUUGUUCUUAAAACUGAAAACAAAAGAACAAUAUUAUGGUACAGUUAAGUUUUUGGAAACCAAAAAUGUUGAAGGCUAGUAAAAUAAAAAUAGGGACAAGUUCGCUAGAAUCUGACCAAAGGCAACAUCUUUCUAUGUGCUUUGACAAACUUAUGACAAACAUAAAUCUAAACUUGGACUCAAAAAACAGGGACAAGUUCGCUAGAAUCUGACCAAAUUCAAGAACGAAUUCUGCAACAAAUAAAUUGUGACAUCUUUCAUACAACAACAACAAUUUUAUGCUAGCAAGAGGCAUUGUUCAUUAUUGAAGUGCUUAAAACAACCUAGUUUUGAACAGACUGCCUCCACUGAGUCCAAUUUAGUUGCAAUGGGAAGAACAUUCAUAAGAGUUCGCAAACAGAAAUUGGAAAAAUUCUAAGGGGUAGAUAUGUUUUCAAAUUUUAAAGAAAAAUACAACUAGAUUAUGUUAAUUUACAUUAUCUACUAAGAAGAUAUGUAUGAAGAAUUUUUAAUACAUUAAAAAAAAUAAAAUUGAUAGAUAAAAUAAACUUGUCAUGAGAAUCCUCAUGCUCCUACAACUUUGAAGCAAAUUUGAACAUUUUUUUUUCACAAAUUAAGUAACUAAGAUUCACAAAUGAAGUUUUGAAAGUUCACAUAGGUAGUACCCAAGUUUCACUAAGGUAGUACCCAAGUUUCACUAAGGUAGUACCUAAGGUUAAGUAAGCUAGUACCUAAGGUUCCUAAAAUACUAAGAUGAUGUCCAAUAAGGUAAAAACAUCUUUUUUAAUGUCCAUUAUGGGGGUCUUAAUUGGCCUAAUGGAGUCCAAUAUAGUAGGGCCCCUCUGCUUGUGAGAGGGAAUCCAAUCACAGUUGUUCAAUAUGCUAAUUAGAAUUUGAAAGGGGCACAUCGGUUUUUAAAACCUAGGCUUUUGAAAAGCAAAACCUGGGCCUAAAUGGUUUGUCUAGACUAAAACUAGACCAUUUUAGUUGGAUCCUGUCUUAAUUACUCACAACCACACCAUAUAGUUGGUAAAAGAUACAUGUUUCCAUGUUGAUCCAGCCCUGAAAAAAAUAUUUCCUUCAAUUUUAUUCAAGAAAUAAAGUACUAGGAAUUUUCAGUAAUACAUGCAACAAUUAUUCUUCAAGAUGAAACUUGCCUUUAUUGUUGUGAAAUAGACAACUAAACAAACCAUUGGUAUAUAUAUAUAUAUAUAUAUACCAAUGGAAAAAAAAUCUCCUCAGAAUAAAAGCUUACUCCAUACAUACACUCUUUAUACAGGACAAGCAUGUACAUGCUCAACUCACUUCACUCUUACAAAAAUUUCAGUACUGCUUCUUUCCAAUAUAGAAAAAUGUGAUUCAAGAAAAUACCUGCUCAAAGCUUAAAAAAUAUAAAGUCAUAGAGAAGAAAAAAAAUAAACCAAAUUCUUGACAAAAUUAUUGACUUUUACUUGUCCAAAAAUUCUACCAUUCCUUGUCUUCCAAAUUAUCCAAAUCAAAGUGAGGCUCACCAAUUACCAAAUAAUUCUAUCUUUAGGGAGUCUCCCAAAUUCCUUAAAAAAGAUAGUCAUCCUAUUUGUCAAAAUUCUGAGAAGCCUACCCUAUCACAGCUAUGCAAACAACUUCUACCAAAGCCCUAAAGAAAAUAGGCAAUGAAGAAAGUUAUAACCAAUUGAUUCACCAUGCCACAAGCACAUAAAACAUAAUUUGAACAUAAAACUUUAUAGGGCUUGCUCACCUAUAGCUUCUUGUUGGUAUUGCUUAUUUGCCACUGACCAUACAAAAGGCUUUUGCUUUAGGUGGGGAUGUAGAUUUCCAAAUGAAACUAGCUGGAAAAAAAAAAAAAAAAACGAGUUCAAGGUUUCAAAAAAGAGCUAAGAAAAAUGAACCGUUAGAAAACAAGCUUGAAGAGACCAAAAACUAAACCUUAAGAAAGGUGAACCUAGUGGCCAAUGAUAUUAAUCACAUAAUCUCAAAUGUGCCAUACAUCAUAUAUCAUUGAAUUUUACAAAGCAAGAUUACAAAUAAUUAACAAAAUGCAAAAGGAUGUAAGUCUUUAAAGCAAACUGGAGCAACAAUUAUAACAUGCUAAGAGAAUAACAGAAAAAAAUAGAUGAACUUUGAUAACUUAACGUGUACUUUUUCGUAAGAUUUGGAAGUCACAGGUUUGACUCUUGGACAUAUAUACCAUGAAGAGUACCAGUAUCAUGAAACACAAAUUUUCUCAUUGUUAAUCUAAAACAGAAGCAACUACAUCAAAAAUUCAAUAGAAGUUAAAAAGUUCUCAAUAUAUAUACCUAAGAUUUAUUGUGACUAUAAUAUAUAUAUAUAUGCAUGCACAUCUAUUUCCUUGUAUGGAAGACAUGCUUCUAUUAAUUCAUGGAUGACAUAUCCAAAGACAGACUCUUUUUAUUAGCCAAAUCUAUGAUCUUAAAAUUCAAGGUCUAGAAUAACCUAGCUAGUAGACAAAUGGCCACUCUAAUACCUAAACAACGUAAUGAUAAAGUGAAGGAAAUGGUUUGCAUAGAGCAAAGAAGGUUUUCUCAUCCAGUGAAACAAUAGGAUUGUGUAUUGUGAGGCUUAAGCUUCUUAUUCAUAAUUAUUUAAAUAAAUAGACUCACAGGUAGCAAUCAUAAGAGUCGAAUGUGUUUGCUUUGCUAAUCAUUUCACAAAUGCAAAAGCUAAACAUCUUAUUCAAAAUCACAUGCAUCAGGUUAUUGUUAUAUUUAUGGAAAUGACUAAUGAGUAGUAAAAGCACCCAUCUCCAAGUGCUCAAGGUGCUUUCACCUUUACUAGGUAAAGUAGAAGAGAAAAGCGCUCAACAUGUGAGAGUAUAGAAAGACCCAACAAAAAAUAAAAAUGAAAAACACAAGUUGAAGAUCAGCCAAUAAACACAACUUUUUUUAGAGCUACUAAAUUUUGACCAUUUGAUUAUAAAAAAAGAUAUGAAUUAUAUACCAGCUAUGUGGGCAACUUAGAAAUUUUUGAUAUAAUGAAAAUGGUAUAGAUAGACUCCAUGUGAACAAGAAAUUGUAGCAUUAUUCUGACAAUAAUGAAAAUUCCUUCUAACUCCAGUUUCCAUCUUAUUUAUGAUUGCCAAGCAAAUGUGGGAAAAUAAAAGUAAAUAAAAAACUCUGAAUCUUAGAACUUUUUUUUUCCAUAGAAAUAUUUAGAAUGAAAAUUUUCCACUCAACUUGACCAAAUUCAAGUAUUUAUUCAUAAAAACUAUAUAAUUGGAAAUUUAUUUUCCUCAAAUUUUGAUAGGAAUCGCAAUAAAAAGAAGAAUUUCUCAACAAAAAUUUAUAAAAAAAGCUGUAAAAUUGAAAUUUUAUUUUCCUUAAAUUUCAAUAGAAAUAGCAAUAUAAAAAAAGAAUUUCUUAACAAAAAUAUAUAGAAAAAUACAUAAAAAGACGACAUUCUCUAAAACAUACAUACAUAUAUGUGCUAAAAUAGACAUGAACAUAGGAAACCUAACCUUAAUCAAACACCAAAAUCUUGUGAUUUUGACAUCCAAAUCCUAAUACCAAAACCUUAAUUCUAAACCUCAGUAUUAUGAUUUCCACAACAAUGGAAGAAAAAUAAACAUACAAACCCCUCCUCCCACCUAAAAAAAAAACUUAACAAAAAACAACACAAAUAGCUUGAAGAAUUGAAGAAAACAAGAAACCCAAAUGGGAACCCCAGAUUUGGACAUGAACAUUGUUGAUAGUGCUAAAAGACAAAAGACAACAAAAUCAUACCCGUAGACAAACAAAGAAAAAUAAAAAACAAAAAAGGCAGAGUCAGAUAUCCUUCAACGAGAAUGAUUAAAUUGAAAAUGUUGGCAGUGCUACUGCUCCAUCACAAUUCCGAGAUAGAGAGGACGGGGGAAGAUGGAAAUGAAAGAGUUUGGAAAGUGUAAUGUGACUGAAACACAUGUAAAGAAGUCGAUAAUGAUGGGUAUCCCAUGCCCUCCAAUCUGUGUCGUCCAUUUAUGACAAGAAGAUGUUAGGGUUAGGUUUUACCAUAUUAUUGGGAUUUCAGGAAUAUUUGAUAAAAUAAGAGGUCCGUGUUUUUACGAGAUUUGAUUUUUUCAUAUUCAGAUCAACACGAGGAAAGUAUUAGAGUUUUUGGAUUUUUGGGUUUCAAGAGGGAGAGAAGCAUAUAAAGGAUGAAGUUUUCUAUUCAAUCUUAGCGUCGAUCAGGGCAGAGAGAAAAAUGUAGACUGUUUUUUAGUUUUUAGUUUUUUAAUCUAUGUGGAAGAUGGGCCGGAGGAAAGAGGAGGGCAAUUUGGAUAUAAAAUAACAACUAGGCUCAAAGUGCAGCUCAAAGCGCAUGAAACUCAAAUUAUUUUUGGGAUUAGAAUAAUUAUAUUGAAAAAUAAAAAGUUGGGUUUCCAAUUUCCUAUAUUUUUCAUAUUAGCAAUCCAUAACACAAGUUUCCGGGGAAGAAGCUGUGGCGUGCGGACAGGAGGAUAGAAAACUUGCAAUGUGGGACCACAGCACGUCAACCUUAAUAACUUCUUGGACCCCACUUGUCCCCUUCAUUUGAUUCAUUCCUUCUGCAAUUUUUGUCCUUGACAUGAUCGUUUUCCAUGGCCUAACCAUUUAGCUUUGUGAGAAAACCUGAUCUUCUUUGCUAAUAUUGUUUAUCUUCUUUGGCUACUUUAAUGGUAAAGUUCAAAAAUAAAAUAAUAAUAAAGGCACAUUGGAAACCAAUUGUAAUGAUCAAUGUUACACAGCAUACUGCAAAAAUUGAAAUAGGAUAGGCACUUUAGAAUGACUAAAUCGAAGAGAGUGAAAGCAAUAAGUAGGCUACAACUAUAAGCAUUCAUUGGGGGUCAGAUCAGAACAUAUGUGCCAUUUACCAAUUAGGCCAUCGGUGGAAAGCGUUAAAACCAAUUCCACGUGUCCUGACCUUAAUACAACACCCUUAAACCAACGGCCAUGAAAUAUUUACCAGUCGGGUUGAGGUUUAGUGGUAAAUGUGGCCAACAGCUAACGUUAAAAGCACAUUUUGCGUGACAGAUAAGGCAAACCGGUCAGCUAUCACAUCACCAACUCAAAAUACAUACGAAAACACACUAAUUAGUAAUUACGUAAUUACGACCGAGGAUUCACGAUUCAUCCGCCGGGUUGACUCCCGGCGAAAUUUUAGUCGCUGUGGACCUCCAAGCUCACAAAUGAAAACUUGCUACCGCUGGAAACAUCACUCUCCGAGCACUCUUUUUCCAGCCCUUUUAUUGCUAAAACGAGAUUUCCGAUUUCCACAUUUUCUGGUGAGGUCGUCCCAUUUCCGACGUCUCGGGUUGGAGAAGGGGAGGGAGUGAAGUAAGGUGGAGAAGCACAAGGCGUCGAAAACGGUGUCACUUCGUCCACACCAACGGCCACAGUCAACUCUGGCAAUUCAUCAGCAACCCUUAAACAUUCCCCCAGUGAUACACUUUUUGUCUCCGCAGACAAUGAUUUGUCAGUUGCUUGUGGCUCCAUUUCUUCCCUCUCCUCCUCCUUGAUGGUGAACAAAACCCUUGAAGAACCAUACAAUCCCUGCCAUUUAAGGACGUCAACGUCGUUGAUCUCCUCCGACGGCACUCUACCGGGCCUGGUAGCAGGAUGGGCGUGGGGAUCGGCGUGGGGUUCGAUGCGGGACUGGCGUUUCCAGCAGAAAAAGUAGAGGAGCUCCUUGGAGGGGAUGGAGAAAGGGUCUCCUGGAAACUCAGGGUGGCCGGCGGUGGAGUUCUGACGCCUGAAUCGUUUCCGGUACCAGUAAACGUGGAAGAGUUGGGUGCCUAUGACAAGGAGGAAGACUGCAAACACCACGAUGAGAACGAUGCAUAACUUGCUCAGACCGAUCAUGUUUCUCCAACACUCUCUGUUGAGUCUUCCUCCUCAGCGUUUUGUCUCUUUUAAGAAACUGAGACACUUGCGUCCUGUAGCAGGUAGCCGGUAACCUCAACGGAUUAAUGCUGACGUGUAUAUUCGACAAAUUUAUCAUUAGAAAAUUCUGUGGGGAAGAGUAAAAAUGACGUGUGGGAUGGAGUAGUGAUGACGUGGCAUCGAUGUCUGGAUCGUUGACUUGGGUGGGCCCAAAAAAAAUGGCGUAAUCAUCUGGGGUGCUGCCCAAAUACCAUUGGAUGGUGGACUAGGAGCUUGAACCAAGGCCCAUUUUAACGAUGCUGGGAUAUUGCAAAUAAAUUGGCCCAUUCACAUGGCUUGUAAUUCUCAAGCCCCCUCAACAAGUCGAUAGUUUUCUAGAGUUCUGAACCUCCGCGGGACUAGGAUCCAGGUGUCAUAGGCGGGAGCUUUUGAUCAUUAUUAUUUCGCAUUUUGCUAUAAUAUACAGCGCCAAGGAGAGCCCAGGUAGAUCACAGGCUUGGGCAGGCCUAAUCAUAGGCCAAAAUCAAGCUCAAGGUUAAAUUCAAUGAAACAGAGAGACUAGAUUAAAUUCAACGAACCAAUCUAAGCCCAUUUUCUAGAGCAGUGUGAGUCUUGUUCAGGCAAGAGGAGGCCUUGAGGUUAUUUCAAUGCCAAAUGUGACUGAAAACUGGGCCAUUUGAGAUCCAUCGCCUUCCACCAUGGGCAUCCUUGUUGUCACGGCCCAGAUGCAGUAUCGAGAAGCAAUAGGUAGCCAAUUUGAAGGAAAAGAUUAGGACCAGGGCUGAAGAGGUCUCGGGCCCAUACCAUAUUGCUGCUAAACUUAGAUGAUUUAAAGCCCUUUUUGAUAGCUAUUUUCGAAAACAAUAUUUUAUUAUCUAAAAUAAAAGAACAGGAAACACAUUUAAUAAUAAAAAAAUAGAAAAUAAUUUUUUCUUCUUAAACAUAGAAAAUGUGAUGUUUUCAAAAGAACCAUUCUUUUAAUGGUUUUUAAUUGUUUUCAUAUGAAAUUUAUUUUUAAAAAUAUAGAAAUUAGGUUAAAAACAUGUCAAGUUUUCAAACUGAUUUUUAUUUUGCAAAACAUUAAAGAAUAAUUUUCGAAAAUUAUUUCAAAAAACUGUUUUUGAAAGCACUUAAAAUAGAGCGGUCUGGUGGCAUACGGGGCAGGGCAAGUGAAAAGGAAUUCAAGACAAAUAGUGGGCUGGUCCAAAGUAUUGAUUGGGCCGGAGGACUGAUAGCCCUACCCAUGAAAAGCAAUAGCUGAGAGAGUAAACGUUAAAAAUCUAAAACUGAGCUGGCACACUGUUACGUGAAAGCGUGAUAUCUUCUCCAAUCAUGUAAAGUUGAGAGGAAGAUCCAAUGAUUUAGACAGCAGAAAUUAUUUGGAGAAGCAUCAGUGUAAUGGGUGUUUUUCCAUGUUGGGCUUCACCACAACCGUGAUGCAAAGACCAUUAUGGUUUUUGGUGAUCUCAAUGCUGUGUUUCAUGGCAUCAUUGGAAUCACAGAUACCCAAAACCGUGAGGGAGCAUGGAAGCACAAAGUGCUAAAAUCAAACAGAAUAGAGCACCCUUUUGCUUUUAGAAUCUUUUAUUUCCGGAAAGGUUUUUCGCCAUACAAUUUUCAUACUCUUCAUUUUGACACGGCAUAGUUUUUCUUGGUCACUAACGUCUAAAUCUAUUAAAUCAUAUUAUAUGAAGUGUCUCGGGGCAAUGGAACGAUAGUCUGAGACAAUAUUUGAUGAGGGCUUCAUCACGGCAGGGGGCUAGAAAGUAACAUGGCAACCAAAAGUCUCUGAUUUAAAAUGCUUAGGAAAAAAGUAACUAGAAUAAGUUGCAACAUGCAAUUGGAAUGGCACUAAAGGUUGGGGUCCUCCCAGUUGGUGCGCGGAAUGGAAAUAAUUUCCAAAUAACGGGUUGGGAACUAGGUUAUGAUUAGUGAUUGAAGAGCAGAAGCAGAAAAAAAAAAAAAAAGAGGCCAUCAAGUAAAUGAUUGCCAGAGUGUAGAAAAGCAGACACACGCAAUAUGCUUUAAGAAAACGACCCAACAAUCAUGAAAAGCAGCAUUAUUUCCAAAAUCUAAUCAUCGCCCACAUCUUGGUUUGGCGUGUGCUCUAGACUCUUUUUGACCGGCUGCUACACUUGGAAAGAAGACCAGACCACCAUAAACACACAGACCAACAUGGUGUGGUACCUCUCCCAAUCUCUUUUCCCCAAAACUGAAGCAGCAGCACAUGAAGUACUCUCUCCUUGGAUCCCUCAAUCAUCACUUUCAAAUGAUAAACCCAUAAAAACUAUACUCAGAAUGUGGGUGUGUGAGAGAGGGUGGCUCUGGGGACUUUCAGAUCCCAGAUUUCCCUUAUUUUCAUGCAAAAUUCACUCGUAAGGGAAAGGAAAAAAAAGGAAGGAAUCGAUGGUGACCUUAUGGAAAAGAGCCAUUUGUUAGCUCCCUUUUCUUAAAGUCUGCAAAAGCCCAAGGUGUGGAAACUUUGUCUCCAUGCUUGUGUUGUCUUUUGCAGAUGCCAACAAUUCUUCUUUUCUGUGUGGGUCUCCUAAGAGAGCUCUUUGGAGUUUGAGGGGCUUCUCACCUUGUCUUGUUUGUUCCAGACUUGGAAUUCGGUGCAACAAGUAAAGUUAGAUGAAAUCUAAUUCCUACAAUCUUGUCUGCUUAUCAUUUUAAUUUUCUUGGCUAGUCUCCCUUCUGUUAUCACCAACUAAAACAUGUAUUUCUUAUCUUCUCAACAGCCAAAUGCAUCAUUCAGGCAAUCUAGCUAGCUACAAAAAAUUAAUAUUGCCUCACCAUCAUGCAUGCAGACUAACCAUAUCAAUAUUCUCAUUACUGCAUAACCGGUCCCUACUACAUACCAUACAUUAAGUGGAGUUGGGAAAUCAAUGUCAAGCUUGCUUAAAAGCUAAAAGACUGUUAUUACAUACACCACUUAAAGCAUUACUUCAAUGCUUCCAACCAUUUUCGUUACAAUUAAUCAUGUCAUUUGUUUAAAAUAUAUGAAGGCUCAACUGGUUUAAUUCAGAUGCUUCUUUCUUGUACUAUCGUAGUUAUAUAGCUUAGUUUUGGUAGAUUUUUCUCCUCUAUCCGAUAUUGGAAGAGUGUUUCAAGUACCCUAACAUUAAACACCUAAUUCCAUAUAAUAUGCAGGUCUAGAAGAAGAGAGAACUAAUCCACCCUUACUCGACUUUCUCAACUAAACCACCGAGAAGAUCUCCAACCUAACGGGUCUAAUGCGUGUCUUUAUAUAUGUAUGUGUAUAUAUAUAUAUAUAUAUAUAUAGAGAGAGAGAGAGAGAGAGAAUUUCAUUGAGCUGUUGGAGACAUGGUCGACCCCAUGAACUGGGCUUAGUUGGCCCAAGUCAAUGCUAGCUGUGAACCCACUUGAUCAGUCAGUGAAAUCAAGUUACCUUGUAAGGAAAAUCAUACAAGAAUUUUAAGUGCUUAAUUUAGAUCCAGAUCAUGCUAGCUCUAUAUUUGAUUGGCCAUGUUUGAAUCACAUCACAUUCAUUAGUUCUAUCAUUCCUCAAAGCAAUCUUGAAAGGAAAUCUGAAACUUUAUAAAGAAAGAAAAGGCAAUAGAACAAAUAAAGACGCACCAUUAUUUGAAGAGGGAAAAGCAGAUAAAAUCCAUAUCUUGACAAAGAUAUAUGAUUAGAGUUCCAAAAGUUAUUUAGGUAUUCAUUUUAUGGUGGUUAGAAAAGGUUUCCAAAGCAAAAGAUACAAUGGGCUUAAAGGAAAGGAAAGGGUGGUAGAAGCUCAUUGGCUCCCACAAAGUGAAGAGGCUUGUUGCCUUAAUGAGUAUGUCUCUUAUCCCACAAUGCUUAUGGUUCAAGUUUUUUUUCCUUUUCGUCCAUGGGUCUUCCACUAGUGCCUUUGAUGACGUCCCACACCCUUUAUCAUCCCCUUAUUAGGACAUUGCUCGAGCGCUUGUCUUGGAGCGACAAGGGCUCCACCAAUUGACCCAUCAUUUGAACACCCAAUAUUAUCCACUUUCCUUUAUAACCUCGCUUGAGGUAAAUAUUCAAAACAUAUAUAAGACAGGCCUCCCAUCCCACCUUUCACAAUACAUAGACCCAUCCAAUUGCUCAAAACCUAGUAUGACCUUGGGAUUAGCCGCUUAGGCUUAGACCUCAUGGAAAAUAUUCUCCCAUGUCCACAUUUCCGCUGAGGUGGUAGCAUCGAUCUCUAGAAAUUGCUUCCCUAUCUUUUAUUAAGGACUUGACUUUUAAUCACGUUGGUGUCACGACUUUGAUAUAAUAACAAUACACGAUAAAUAAGAUAGGAAGAAUAGAAAUACUCAAAACUUUGUUAUUUUGAUAAGAUAUCCAAAGACCCAAUUUUCUUGUGCUACCUUUUGAGGACAAGUCAUCUUCUCUAUUUAAAAUUUUUUUAACUUUCACCUAAGUCUUUACUUUUCCUCUUGAUACUUUAUAAAAUUUCAAUGGUGGCUAGACUUUGAAAAUAUAUUAUACGUAAUAUAAUUAAAUUAAGCUGCUAGUAAAGGCUAAUAUAUAUAUAUAUAUUGUAUUUGUAUUACCACCAGCAGACUUGGAAAAUUUAACUCUUCUUUCAAAAUAGUUCACAUUCACAUCAAAUAUGAACAUGAAUGCAACAAGUUUAACUUUUAAGAAUUGAACUUGAUGUGGAAGAGAAAAUGAAUUCUUAGUGGAAACAAAAAAAAGGAAAAAAAAAGAAAAAGAAAGGGAAAACAGGAGUCUGUUAUUACUAGAAUGAGGUAGGAAAAGUAAGCUUAAUUUAUGUCUUCUAUGUAAACAAAUAUUACGUUGCCACCUUAUUCAAAAGGAAAAUUCAAGAUCUAGUGGGAAGAAGGUUAAAAAUUGAAAAAAGAAGAAAAGCAGUCUAAGAUGGAGGCUUCUUCCUUUUUAGAGAGAGAUUGGAAAAGGGGUAAAAGGGAUGACCCAAAAGUAGAAGAGAAUAUAAUACUAGUAAGUAGUAAGCUGAUUUUAUAAGUUGAAAAAAAGAAAAACCCCACCACUGUCCUUCACAGAAUGCAUUAAUUCCCGAAACCCCUAAUCUUUUGAAAAGCCACAAGCGACAAAUUCCCUACUUAUGCUUAGGGUUUUAAUUUAAAGUUGCCAAGAUAAUGAUCUUUUUGUGAUUCUAAAGUAACAACAUCUUUAAGGUUUAAAGAAGAGAUGCUUAUCUAUGUGUUUUUUUUUUCCCUGAAUGUGUUUUAGCUUUUACUUUUUUGAUUUAUUUGUUUUUGAAAACUUAUACCACAACUUUCCAAUGCUUUCCAAAGAUGAGAAUGUUGGGUUUACGAAAAUCAAAGAAAGAAAAGUUAUUCUUUUGCAAAACGCAUCACAAAGCAUAAAAAGUAGUGCUCUUUUGAUAUUUCUUAGGGAAGAUUUGCUUUUCCCUUCUAAAGUGGAAAAGUUGCCUCUCCUUUGCACAACCCUUACGUUAUGGAUCAUACCUUAAUCUUACUUUGUGCAUUCCCAACAUUCCUUUACAUUUCAUACAACUUGUAUAAUUAAUGCACAAUCAUUUUCCUUUUUAAUUGCACUCUCUCUCUCUCUCUCUCCCCCUCUCCCCCUUAACCUUAAUUAAAUCUUUAAUACAGUCUCCAAAGACCCUUAUUGCCAGUUCUCGCGAAUUAACUUAAUUAAAGAGAAUUAUUGUGGGCAAAAAAGCUAGUACUUGGUUAACCAACCAUGACAAUUGAAAAUAAUGAAGAAAAAUGAAUGAGACAGCUGGAAACUCAAUACCCAUAAGUUACUUUGUGUGAGACAAAAGGCCAAAUGGAAUUUGAAGAAAGUCGAAAGUAUGUUCAGCAUUAAUACCACCGCUUUAUUCUUCAUGUUACUAUUUGCUCAGCCUGAUUUCGAGCUGUUAGAUGCUCCGGACAUGAUACUUUUAUGUGACGACGAGUACAUGAAGCAUUUAUUUUAAGCCGACCAUUUUCAAUGGCUUCAGCUGCUAUUAUUUAAUGCCACAUGAAUCUUAGUUUCUGACAUCCUCCCAAACCCAAUCAUGGUAUAUAACUGUAAUGCAUGUAUAGAGAUUUGUUAUUUGAUACACUCUGAAUAAUGGGAACUCAGGUUUUACAGGCAGGUAAUGAUACACUUUGGCAUUUUUUUUAAUCGUGAGACCUAAUUUUGGAUUUUAUUUUUUUCUCUCCAGAAACAAAUAUCUUAAGAAUAUUGAACACCAAUAAAACAAAUUAAAAAUACAAUUAAAACUAAAAUACUGAAAAAUUAAAUACAAUUAAAAUAAAAAACUUAAAUUUUUUAAAAAUAAAAUGUUAACUUUUAUUCAUUUCCUAUUCUUGAUAUUUAUAUUUUUAAUUAAACGAAGUGAAAGUUAAUAUUUUAUUUUUAUUUUUAAAAUUUUUAAGUUUUUUAAAAUAUCUUAUUUUAUUGUUGAUGUUAAUGAACAAAAAUUUUAAUCGAUUUUAUUAAAAAAGAUAAGAAGAUGAAGAAAUUUAUAUAAUAUAAAAUAUAAAAUCAUUAUUAAUUAGAAUAUUAGAAAAAAAUUUAUUUAUCACUUGAGAAUGUUAUAGAAAAUUUUCAUAAUGAUUUGUACCUCAUAUUAUAUAAUAAAAAUUUAUAAAAUAUUUAUUUAUAAGAUACUUUUAUUAAUUUAAAAUGAUAAAUUAAUGUUUUGAUAAUUUUAUUUAGUAUAAUGGUAAGAGGUCAUUUCAUGAAAUGAUUAUCUAAUCUAUAAAAAAAUGUAUGUAUUUUAAAAUAAUUUUAAAUGGAUGAAGAUAAAACUUAUUUAUAAAAUUUGAAAUUCUUUUUUAUAUAUAUAUAUAUAUUUUUUAAAUUAGUGAAUUAUAACCCACUUUUUUCUCUUUUGUUGUAGCAGUGCAUGUAUGCACUAUUACGUGCCAUCCUAUUGGGAGUGGCACAUGGUGGCACAUGAGAGUUCAUCCAUCUUAAUACCACCCCAAGGGAUCUAAUUAACUGUAAGACAUUAAAUGUGAUUAGAAUCAUAUUAUUAUUAUUUUUAAGUAGGGGUCAACCUCGAGUAUAGAAAAAACACCACUAAAGAAGCUCGACUUAAAGGAUGGAUAAAAUAAGUUAAUGGCUCAACUCCACGUUUAACCAUGAAAGCACCGAACUAUAAAAACUUUACUAUGAUCAUCAUACAAAUGGUCAAAGUGUUAAAACGAAACAUAAUAAAGUUAUUAAAAGCGUCAAGUAAUUGAUACCAUUAUUAUAUUAUCUUUCCAUAAUCUAUGCACUAAGCUAGGAGCGAUAAAUAUAAGAUGAGACACCCCCACUCUACUUCCUAUUGUGUCUCUUUGCUUCGCAAUUGGCACUUUAAUGACAUUAAAAUGGGGCGAAACUCUUUUUUGUUUUUAUUAUUAUUAUUUAUUUUUUGUUUUUAAGAUCAUUAAUGUAAAUAUUCUCAUUAUAUCUCUUUAUGUAUUUAUUUCUUUUCUUUCAGAUGAAAAGGAUAAAUGAGGCAAAUAUGUUUUAUAUUGUGUAUAUCCAUUCCUAUGUAACCAUUUCCUUUUUUUUUUUGCUUUUUUUUUUUUUAUUUUUUUUCAAAUUUGGGAUAAUGUUUAGUUCUCUAAUUUUUUUUUUCAAUUUUUGAAAAAUGUUUAGCAAACAAGGUCCCCCUCUUAAAGUCUCAACCCAUUAUAUCAUUCAAUAACCUUUUUUUUCCUUCAAAUUUAUAGGCUUUCAUCAAAAUUUUAACCAAAAAAAUUAUGAAUUUUAUGAAAUUCAUAAAAAUCAAAAUCAAAAUGAAAGGGGGCUUAAGGGAUCAUCAACUUCCAAUUUCUAACAAGAAAAGACUUAGAAAUUUUUAAAUCUAUGAACAUAAAAAAGAAAGGAAAAGAAGAGUAAAGAGAAAGAGAAAAGAGGAAAGAGGCAGGAAAAGGAAAAGAAUUAGGAUUUGAUAGGUAGAAGACCAUGAAAAGCAUUUUUACUUUUACUCAUAUCAUAAAAAAUUCCUAUAUCUAGCAACUUUUUUGAUUUUAUAUUUUAUGGAGACAAAUUAUUACUAAUUUCAUAAUUAAAAGGGUUGGUGAAAAUAAAACUUAAUCAUGUUUAAGAAAAUAAAUAAUAAAGCGCCAAAUUCAAUUUUUUGAUGGGAUAAUUGUUUAAUUUAUUAUAAUAGCUCUGAUUACUCUACCAUAAGAAUUCACGCCAUAAUCCAAAGUAGUGAAAUCUAUUAUUUUGAUUGAUAUUUGACCUUGUGACUCAAGAUAAUGUUUAAAAUAUCCUUCUAGUCGGAUAAAAUGAAGAUGGUUGAGACUAAGAUGGCACAAGGGUAGGUUUGUUAUGUGUCGCUGAUUUUAUCUCAUUUAUUUAAAUUUAUUUUUAUUUUCAUCUUAUUAAAAAAUUUAAACAAGAUGGAGUUGCCUGGUCCCAUUUAAUUUAAAUUCUUUUAAUUACAUUAAAAAAUAUUAUGAUUUUUUAUAAUUUUAAAUAAGCAGUUUUUUAUUAUAAUAUGAGAUAAAAAUGGAAAUAAAAAUUAAAUUUAAAAUAUAUUUUUUAAUUUAAUUAUAUAUAAUAAGGGGAGAUAGGACAAGGCAUGACAUGAAGGUUUCCAAAAAAUUAAAAACUCACUUAUAACUCAUUCCUUUUCAUCCCAAACCUGUCCUUGAGAUGAGGUAGUACCCUAUUACCAUCCUAGUUGGGGCUUAUAUAUGUUUUGUUUUUUUUUUUUCCUCAAAAAUUGAUUCAAAGAGUAAUGAAAGAGUAUAAUGUCUUGUUGGAAGUUGGAACCAGGCUCUUUUACAGAGAAGAUGAUUUUUUUUUUGGUUAUAUGCUAACUCAGAGUAAUAAAAAUCACCUUUUUCAAAAUCUUUGAAAUAAGAUGAUAAACAUGAUAGUAAUAUAAAUGAAAAAAAAAAAUACUAAUUUAAACUAACAAAAUAAUAAGAUAUAACUAUUGAAUCAUGGAUAAAUUUAAAUAAUAAAAUUAUAUUGCAUUCUAGGAUACAUAUUAUUUAAGUAUAUAUAAAAGUUAUAAAUAUCAAUACGUUUAUAUUUUAUUUUAUCUUUACCAUGAUUUUAUCUUUUAAUAUUAAUUCAAAGAUAAAUUAAAGAUAAAACAUUUUGAAAUUUCUAAAUUAUUUAUAUAAAUUAUAAAUUUAUGAUAUCAUGUUGAUAUCAUAAUACAACCCUAAUUAUACUAUGGAUCCAACUAGUAAAUCAUGACAUGAUAAUUUUUUCAAUUUAAUAAUUAAUCCAAUCAUGAAUAAAUUACUUAAAACAUUUACACUUAAAUUAUUUUUUAAAAGUCCAACUUAUUGUCUCUCCUCACAUGUCAGCUAGUCACUUCUUACUCUAGCAUGAAUAUAGAGAAAGGUAAACCUAAAAUAUAUCUGGAUCAAAGAAAGCGUAUUAGUCUUUAUUAAUUGGAAUCCAACGAUAUGUACUUAUUUUGAAUUAUUUCAAAACAAAGGCAAUGCUAAUUAUUUGUUGACUUUUACGAUGCUAAUUAUUGUCUUACAUGCCUUCUACAUUCAAGGGAACUUCCUUAUAUAUUAAGUAUAAAUUCUUUAUACAUGACAUGCAAAACCAAAUUUGAAUGUGAUAUGGAAGUAUACACAUAAAUAUUGUUUUUCUUAUCUACUUCUACAUAGGAAUAACCUUACAAAGGAAAUAGACCAUGUAACGACCCACUUACAAUCGUGUAGAUAUUGUCCAUUUUGGGCCCAAAGGGACCAUCACGGCUUUAAAACGUAUCUAUAGGGUUAGUGUUAGAAACUUUUCCCCUAUCCGAUGUGUGAUGUCACAAACAACCCCCCCCCCCA
RNAcentral lists this long non-coding RNA (25872 nucleotides) under Vitis vinifera (wine grape). RNAcentral describes it as "long non-coding RNA (VVIN_LNC002595)". The record is from RNAcentral. Lineage: Eukaryota; Viridiplantae; Streptophyta; Magnoliopsida; Vitales; Vitaceae.